GAUGAACGCUGGCGGCGUGCCUAAUACAUGCAAGUCGAGCGAACGGACGAGAAGCUUGCUUUUCUGAUGUUAGCGGCGGACGGGGGAGUAACACGUGGAUAACCUAGCUUUAAGACUGGGAUAACUUCGGGUAACAGGAGCUAAUACCGGAUAAUACUUUGUACUGCAUGGUUCAAAAGUGAAAGACGGUCCUGCUGUCACUUAUAGAUGGAUCCGCGCUGCAUUAGCUAGUUGGUAGGGUAACGGCUUACCAAGGCAACGAUGCAUACCCGACCUGGGCGGGUGUCCGGCCACACUGGAACUGGGAACCGGUCCGGACCCCACGGGGAGGCAGCGUUAGGGAUUCUUCGGCAUUGGGCGAAGUCCUGACGGGGCAACGCGGCUUGGUGGAGGAGGUUCUUCGAAUCUUAAACCUCGUUUAUUAGGGAGGACAAUAUGGGUAAGUAACUGUGCACAUCUUGACGGUACCUAACCAGAAAGCCACGGCUAACUACGUG
This 497-nucleotide ribosomal RNA is filed under the name uncultured bacterium. Its description in RNAcentral is "partial 16S ribosomal RNA". It matches the Rfam family "Bacterial small subunit ribosomal RNA", at positions 28 to 507 of the family's 1533-position model. The record is from RNAcentral.